UACACACCGCCCGUCACACCACGAAAGUUGGCAAUACCCGAAGCCGGUGGGCUAACCUCUCUGAGGAGGCAGCCGUCGAAGGUAGGGUCGAUGAUUGGGGUG
This 102-nucleotide ribosomal RNA is filed under the name uncultured bacterium. Its description in RNAcentral is "partial 16S ribosomal RNA". It matches the Rfam family "Bacterial small subunit ribosomal RNA", at positions 1384 to 1482 of the family's 1533-position model. The record is from RNAcentral.